AGUGAACGCUGGCGGUAGGCCUAACACAUGCAAGUCGAACGGCAGCACAGUAAGAGCUUGCUCUUACGGGUGGCGAGUGGCGGACGGGUGAGGAAUACAUCGGAAUCUACUUUUUCGUGGGGGAUAACGUAGGGAAACUUACGCUAAUACCGCAUACGACCUACGGGUGAAAGCAGGGGAUCUUCGGACCUUGCGCGAUUGAAUGAGCCGAUGUCGGAUUAGCUAGUUGGCGGGGUAAAGGCCCACCAAGGCGACGAUCCGUAGCUGGUCUGAGAGGAUGAUCAGCCCCACUGGAAAUGAGACACGGUCCAGACUCCUAAGGGAGGCAGCAGGGGGGAAUAUUGGACAAUGGGCGCAAGCCUGAUCCAGCCAUACCGCGUGGGUGAAGAAGGCCUUCGGGUUGUAAAGCCCUUUUGUUGGGAAAGAAAAGCAGCAGGUUAAUACCCCGCUGUUCUGACGGUACCCAAAGAAUAAGCACCGGCUAACUUCGUG
Molecule: ribosomal RNA, 492 nt
Filed under: uncultured bacterium
Lineage: Bacteria
Description: partial 16S ribosomal RNA
Rfam family: Bacterial small subunit ribosomal RNA
Source: RNAcentral